UACAGAGGUUCCAAGCGUUGUUCGGAUUCACUGGGCGUAAAGGGUGCGUAGGUGGUUGCGCAAGUCUGAUGUGAAAUCUCCGGGCUCAACCCGGAAAUGGCAUUGGAAACUGCGUGGCUAGAGGGUUGGAGGGGGGACUGGAAUACUUGGUGUAGCAGUGAAAUGCGUAGAUAUCAAGUGGAACACCAGUGGCGAAGGCGAGUCCCUGGACAACACCUGACACUGAGGCACGAAAGCUAGGGGAGCAAACAGG
Molecule: ribosomal RNA, 253 nt
Filed under: uncultured bacterium
Lineage: Bacteria
Description: partial 16S ribosomal RNA
Rfam family: Bacterial small subunit ribosomal RNA
Source: RNAcentral